Molecule: unclassified non-coding RNA, 146 nt
Filed under: Anaerobium acetethylicum
Lineage: Bacteria; Bacillati; Bacillota; Clostridia; Lachnospirales; Lachnospiraceae
Description: Clostridiales-1 RNA
Source: RNAcentral
UCAUACCAGGGUCUAAAGGUCAUGUGUUUCAUGCUUGCAUGAAAAACAUGACUUUGAGACCCGCAAAUCCGUUAUUUUAGAAAGGAAAAUAAGAAUGACAUUCAAGGAAUUAUACCUGAAAGGCGAAAUUGAAUUCGAAGAAAUCG